GACGAACGCUGGCGGCGUGCUUAACACAUGCAAGUCGAACGGAAAGGCCUCUUUCGGGGGGUACUCGAGUGGCGAACGGGUGAGUAACACGUGAGUAACCUGCCCUUGACUUUGGGAUAACUUCAGGAAACUGGGGCUAAUACCGGAUAGGAGCUCCUGCUGCAUGGUGGGGGUUGGAAAGUUUCGGCGGUUGGGGAUGGACUCGCGGCUUAUCAGCUUGUUGGUGGGGUAGUGGCUUACCAAGGCUUUGACGGGUAGCCGGCCUGAGAGGGUGACCGGCCACAAUGGGGCUGAGAUAAGGGCCAGACUCCUUCGGGAGGCAGCAGUGGGGAAUAUUGCACAAUGGGUGGAAGCCUGAUGCAGCAACGCCGUGUGCGGGAUGACGGCCUUCGGGUUGUAAACCGCUUUCGCUCAUGACGAAGCUUUGUGUGACGGUAGUGGGUAAAGAAGCACCGGCUAACUACGUG
RNAcentral lists this ribosomal RNA (467 nucleotides) under uncultured bacterium. RNAcentral describes it as "partial 16S ribosomal RNA". It matches the Rfam family "Bacterial small subunit ribosomal RNA", at positions 28 to 507 of the family's 1533-position model. The record is from RNAcentral.